Molecule: ribosomal RNA, 490 nt
Filed under: uncultured bacterium
Lineage: Bacteria
Description: partial 16S ribosomal RNA
Rfam family: Bacterial small subunit ribosomal RNA
Source: RNAcentral
UGUGAACGCUGGCGGUAGGCCUAACACAUGCAAGUCGAACGGCAGCACAGGAGAGCUUGCUCUCUGGGUGGCGAGUGGCGGACGGGUGAGGAAUACAUCGGAAUCUGCCCAGUCGUGGGGGAUAACGGAGGGAAACUUACGCUAAUACCGCAUACGACCUUCGGGUGAAAGAGGGGGAUCGCAAGACCUCUCGCGAUUGGAUGAGCCGAUGUCGGAUUAGCUAGUUGGCGGGGUAAUGGCCCACCAAGGCGACGAUCCGUAGCUGGUCUGAGAGGAUGAGCAGCCACACUGGAACUGAGACACGGUCCAGACUCCUACGGGAGGCAGCAGUGGGGAAUAUUGGACAAUGGGCGCAAGCCUGAUCCAGCCAUACCGCGUGGGUGAAGAAGGCCUUCGGGUUGUAAAGCCCUUUUGUUGGGAAAGAAAUCUUUCAGGCUAAUACCCUGGGAGGAUGACGGUACCCAAAGAAUAAGCACCGGCUAACUUCGUG